UCAAAUCCCCAAAACUCUCACUGAGAAAAGAGAAAAAAGAACAGGGUACCAAAAGAAGCAUAACACUACAACGACCAAGCACAUGGUAUUAUAAGAUUCUCCUCCUACUUUGGACAAUGAUUUUUAGCUAAGAAAAAACUAGGGCACCGAUGAUGGUAUAUGGAGUAGGACGAGUGCAUUACAUGGUCAAGAGAAUUGAUAAUCAUGUGUGACUCCCUUUCAAGCUUUAUAACGAAACAGCCUGCAGAAGAAUAGAUGAUCUAUACAUAAGCAAAUAUAGCAACUCAUAGAGAACUUCUAACAAAAAACAAAAUAUUGAUGGAGAAGUAAGAAGUUGUUUAUUGCAACU
Molecule: long non-coding RNA, 349 nt
Filed under: Brassica napus (rape)
Lineage: Eukaryota; Viridiplantae; Streptophyta; Magnoliopsida; Brassicales; Brassicaceae
Description: long non-coding RNA (BNAP_LNC004747)
Source: RNAcentral